This is a non-coding RNA of Pelodiscus sinensis (Chinese soft-shelled turtle), 601 nucleotides long. The record is from RefSeq and is a predicted model, not a curated record. NCBI's taxonomy places the organism in Eukaryota, Metazoa, Chordata, Testudines, Trionychidae.
CUUGUGUGUGCCUCCCCAAGUCCCUCUUUUCUGUUUUUUUACUCCUCAUUGUUUUAAUUACUGACUCUGAGACCUCCUGUAUUUCUCUUAAAUCUUCUGCAGUGGUCACUGUAAAAUGGUGCCCAGGGUAUAAGCAUACAAUAUCCCCAGGGUAUGAGCAUAAAAUGUUUUCUCUGCAGUCUUUGCUAGCCUGUUCCUAAAAUAGAGAGGAAUUAGAUCUUGAUUUUUAACAAGGGUGGGUCAUGUUUGGGAUCUAUGUCCAGCCUGGAGAAAUCCCUUUGGAGAAAACAGACCUUUCAUAAACAGCAAAGGGAGAAGGAGAACUAUGAGAAAUACCUGUGAUAGUGUUGCAGCUAUGAUUGGAAUUUUAAAGAGGAAGUUUGAGGAAGUUGAUGGUUCCUCACACUGCUUUUCUGAUGAAGUUUCUAACAGUAAAACUGCUGACAGUGCUAAUCCACUUCUAAUCAUUUUACCUACUGGACAAUGUUGAGGGUGGCUAAAUAAACAGCAAGUUGGUAGCCCCGAGUGAAAGUUUCUAAACCAAGAGCUUCCAUGAGCUUCUGAGUUGAACAGUCUGCCUGAAAGCAAAGGGCCCAUCAAC